AUGUUUUAUGUGUAUAGUCUCGGGAAUGAAGAAUAGCUGAAAAGGUAUAAAAACGGUUCAUAUUUGUCAAAAACCGAGCACCGAAUCGAGUUCAGGAGUACGAGAGUUGAAACAGAACAAAAAACGAGGAAAAUCACCUGGCCGCGUCACGCGACCAGGUAUAGGCCUUUUCCCCGCGCGACGCGAGGAUAGAUCAUUGGUUUGCAGCAGAAAGCACACGUCACGCCGCACAUUGUUAGAUCCAUAUGCUCCCUGUGCGACGCAGGGAGCUCUUUUCCACAAAAAGUUUCAUCCUGUUGAUGGGUUUUGAGCCGGUUAUAAGUAUAAAAACAUCCUCAACUUGAAGAAAUCAUAACCCUACGAAUUUAAGAACACUUUGGAUGAAAUUUGGAGAACUUGGAACAAAAGUCGAAGGUUUUCAAGCAUCAGUUGAAGAUUCAAAAGUCGGGGAUCAAGUCGGCUCGUGAAUAAUCAUUUGGGUUCCUUCGUUCUUCUACUUUCCUUGAUUUAAACCAUGUUUUGAACUUUCUACUUAUUCUUUGUUUAUAUUCACAUGACGAUUAUGGGCUAAAUAACUACCUAGACUUGGAUGAAUAAUUAACAAAGUUUGGAUUUUUAUUAGUCGUGACUACGUUUAUGGUUUUGUUAAUGAAGUAAGAAACUUGGAAUAUUAUUUUGUUGUGUAUGAUUAUCUUGACUUGUUUGAUUUCACGUUUAUCGCUCCCACACGUAUCUUGAUGAAUGUCUUUCAUGUAAUAGGUUCGUGUUAGAUUAAUUGCAUUUGUGUUUAUAGUCUUUAUGGUUAAUUGGCCAAUACAUCGUAGGAAGUAAUUUCGUGACUCGAGUACGUCUAGGUGGUUAACUAAUCUUAAAAUCCUUAAGGGGAGAGAUUAUCGGUUUGUCUAGGUUGUUAGAUCACUAAAGUUAGGAUCUUUGAAAAAAGAUCAAUUUAGUUAACCUUUCAAUUCUUGCUAACCGAGUCAAACUAAUUUAUAAACCUUAGAUUAUUGCACCAUGAGGGUAAUUAUCAUAUUAAAGUACCUAGUUAACAUAAUUGGAAAUCCGGGUAAUUUAACAUCUUGCUAGGUUUCCAUAGGUGUCUUCCUGAGAAGGGUUGGGGGGUCCUGUUCGGUUACUUAGUGGGUUUAGUAUCUCAAGAUCCUGGUUUCAUAGUUUAGUCACGCCAGUAGAAUUCCAUUCUGAGUUGUUUAGGAUUCUAGUCUAGGUAGUUGUUUCAUCAUCAUCUGAGUAAAACUUCAAAGUUUAGUUUGCGUCUUCAUUCGUUCGUCUAGUUAGUAUUUAAUUUAAUUGCAAUUUUAGGAAUUUAGAAAAACUCCCCCUUAAAACAUAAAAAUAAAUAGCCGUGUCAGUCAUUAGGUCUAGUUAGUCUAUUUUACGUAAUUUAAAGAUUCUCAUGGGCUCGAUUUCCGGACUUACUUAGCUUACUACAGUCGAUCGGUUCGCUUGCCAGUUAGUCGUUAGUUGAGUUUUAGAGAGUCUAGACUCUAGAGUAUAACCUUGAGUCUAGAUUAGGUUAACUUAGUCGUUAAAUAAUAAACUACUUUUAACACAUUGAUGCGUGUUGGUGUGUAUAUAAUUUAGAUGUAUAUUUAAGCCCCUUUUUACACUUUUAACCAAGUUUUAAAUUUAUAAAACACGAUAUUUACUAACACUAAACACACAUAUGGGCAAGUGCACCCAUCGUGGACGUAGUAUAGUGUUGGUAAGAUACCGAGGUCGUCCAAUGACACAAGAGCUUUUAAUACCGGUUUAUCCUCAACGUCUAAUCAAAUCAAAAAGUAAGAAAAAUGUUUUAAUCUAAGAAAAAUAAAAACUAACUAAAUGCUGAAAAAUAAAAUAAAAUAAAAACAGAUAGACAAGAUGAAUCACUUGGAUCCGACACGUGUGUUAGUAUAACCUUUGAUUAUUUUCGCACUUUUGCACUUGUUUAAGAGAUUAUCUUAGUUAUUGUAGUAGGCCCCUCUUUUGAAGGCGACGUUACCCUCAACCCAGUAGUUUGACUCAGCAAGGAUACAAUCCUAAAGGGUCGGAUUAUUGAAAGAUAAUGAAUUAAGUUAUUAAUGCAAAUUGUGGUAGGCCCCGCUUUUGGCGGUGACGUUACCCUCGGCUAAGUAGUCUGAGUCAGCAGGGAUACAGUCCUAAAUAGCCGGGUUAUAGUAUUAAUAGUAGUUAACUUAUGAGGGGGUCAAAGAGUUUGGAUCCCUGCCAUCCAAUACCUAUGGGCAUUGAAGGAGAUCCUACUAAAGUUGACCCAGGUCCCAAGCAGGACCUCUAAACGCUGAACAAGGGCAAGACCCUUACCAAACCGUUCCCUUAACCCCCGACCAGGUAGCCAACAUACCUCGAUAUAGACCGUGGAGAUAUGAAUGGUGAAAAUCUUUUAUUUUAUAUAGACAGUAAAAUAAUGCCAAGACACCACGGACAAACGAUAAGGAAAGAUCACCUUCAACAUAAGUAACUAGUUAUUAAAGUCAUUAAUAC
RNAcentral lists this long non-coding RNA (2502 nucleotides) under Helianthus annuus (common sunflower). RNAcentral describes it as "hypothetical non coding rna". Lineage: Eukaryota; Viridiplantae; Streptophyta; Magnoliopsida; Asterales; Asteraceae. The record is from RNAcentral.